RNAcentral lists this ribosomal RNA (253 nucleotides) under uncultured bacterium. RNAcentral describes it as "partial 16S ribosomal RNA". It matches the Rfam family "Bacterial small subunit ribosomal RNA", at positions 524 to 776 of the family's 1533-position model. The record is from RNAcentral.
UACGUAGGGUGCGAGCGUUGUCCGGAAUUAUUGGGCGUAAAGAGCUCGUAGGCGGUUUGUCGCGUCUGCUGUGAAAACCCAGGGCUUAACCCUGGGCCUGCAGUGGGUACGGGCAGACUAGAGUGCGGUAGGGGAGAUCGGAAUUCCUGGUGUAGCGGUGAAAUGCGCAGAUAUCAGGAGGAACACCGGUGGCGAAGGCGGAUCUCUGGGCCGUAACUGACGCUGAGGAGCGAAAGCAUGGGGAGCGAACAGG